AGACAACAUCAGAAUGUCCCUAC
RNAcentral lists this microRNA (23 nucleotides) under Branchiostoma floridae (Florida lancelet). RNAcentral describes it as "bfl-miR-4863-5p". Lineage: Eukaryota; Metazoa; Chordata; Leptocardii; Amphioxiformes; Branchiostomatidae. RNAcentral also lists the same sequence under 1 other name. The record is from miRBase by way of RNAcentral.